RNAcentral lists this ribosomal RNA (360 nucleotides) under Klebsiella pneumoniae. RNAcentral describes it as "bacterial LSU rRNA". It matches the Rfam family "Bacterial large subunit ribosomal RNA", at positions 121 to 520 of the family's 2925-position model. Lineage: Bacteria; Pseudomonadati; Pseudomonadota; Gammaproteobacteria; Enterobacterales; Enterobacteriaceae. The record is from RNAcentral.
GGGAAACCCAGUGCAAUUCGUUGCACUAUCGUUAACUGAAUACAUAGGUUAACGAGGCGAACCGGGGGAACUGGAAACAUCUAAGUACCCCGAGGAAAAGAAAUCAACCGAGAUUCCCCCAGUAGCGGCGAGCGAACGGGGAGCAGCCCAGAGUCUGAAUCAGCUUGUGUGUUAGUGGAACGGUCUGGAAAGUCCGACGGUACAGGGUGAUAGUCCCGUACACCAAAAUGCACAGGCUGUGAACUCGAAGAGUAGGGCGGGACACGUGGUAUCCUGUCUGAAUAUGGGGGGACCAUCCUCCAAGGCUAAAUACUCCUGACUGACCGAUAGUGAACCAGUACCGUGAGGGAAAGGCGAAAA